This 917-nucleotide ribosomal RNA is filed under the name Stegana sp. 886 JL-2019. RNAcentral describes it as "partial 28S ribosomal RNA". It matches the Rfam family "Eukaryotic large subunit ribosomal RNA", at positions 75 to 804 of the family's 3401-position model. RNAcentral also lists the same sequence under 4 other names. Lineage: Eukaryota; Metazoa; Arthropoda; Insecta; Diptera; Drosophilidae. The record is from RNAcentral.
UUUUCUUAGUAGCGGCGAGCGAAAAGAAAUCAGUUCAGCACUAAGUCACUUUGUCUUUAUGGCAAAUGUGAGAUGCAGUGUAUGGAACGUCUACAAUCUAGUAUGAGAAAUUAAUGAUUUAAGUCCUUCUUAAAUGAGGCCAAUUACCCAUAGAGGGUGCCAGGCCCGUAUAACGUUAAUGAUUACUAGAAGGCGAUUCCAAAGAGUCGUGUUGCUUGAUAGUGCAGCACUAAGUUGGUGGUAAACUCCAUCUAAAACUAAAUAUGACCAUGAGACCGAUAGUAAACAAGUACCGUGAGGGAAAGUUGAAAAGAACUCUGAAUAGAGAGUUAAAUAGUACGUGAAACUGCUUAGAGGUUAAGCCCGAUGAACCUGAAUAUCCGUUAUGGAAAAUUCAUCAUUAAAAUUGUAAUAUCUUUACUUUUUUUUUUUUUAACAAAAAGAAAGAAAAUAUUAUAAUGAUAGUGUGCAUUUUUUCCAUAUAAGGACAUUGUAAUCUAUUAACAUAAUAAAAUAUUUAUCAAAAAGUCAUAAACAUAAAGUUUAUUUAAAUUAUUAUGCUUGCAUUUUAACAUAGAAUAAAUGUUAAUGAUUUGAUAAAGUGUUGAUAAAUUUAUCAUAUAUACAAUGCUUUAAUUUUUCGGAAUUAUAUAAUAGCAUAAUUAUCAUUGAUUUUUAUGUUUAUUAUAUGCAUUUGUAUGAUUAACAAUGCGAAAGAUUCAGGAUACCCUCGGGACCCGUCUUGAAACACGGACCAAGGAGUCUAACAUAUAUGCAAGUUAUUGGGAUUUUAUAAACCUAAUGGCAUAAUUAACUUAACUGUUAAAUAUAUGGGAUUAGUUUUUAAACUAUUUAUAGUUUAUUAACACAAUCCCGGGGCGUUCUAUAUAGUUAUGUAUAAUAAUAUUUAUAUUAUU